Molecule: ribosomal RNA, 1087 nt
Filed under: Agromyza frontella
Lineage: Eukaryota; Metazoa; Arthropoda; Insecta; Diptera; Agromyzidae
Description: eukaryotic LSU rRNA
Rfam family: Eukaryotic large subunit ribosomal RNA
Source: RNAcentral
ACAAGGAUUUUCUUAGUAGCGGCGAGCGAAAAGAAAACAGUUCAGCACUAAGUCACAUUGCUGUAAUGGUAAUUGUGAGAUGCAGUGUAUGGAAUAUCUUAAUUCUAGUAUGAGAAAUUAAUGAUUUAAGUCCUUCUUAAAUGAGGCCAUUUACCCAUAGAGGGUGCCAGGCCCGUAUAACAUUAAUGAUUACUAGAAGAUAUUUCCAAAGAGUCGUGUUGCUUGAUAGUGCAGCACUAAGUGGGUGGUAAACUCCAUCUAAAACUAAAUAUAACCAUGAGACCGAUAGUAAACAAGUACCGUGAGGGAAAGUUGAAAAGAACUCUGAAUAGAGAGUUAAAUAGUACGUGAAACUGCUUAGAGAUUAAGCCCGAUGAACCUGAAUAUCCAUUAUGAAGAAUUCAUCAUUAUGAUAAUUAUAUACAAUAUAUUGUUAUAAUAGUGUGCAUUUUCUUCAUAUAAGGACAUUGUAAUCUAUUAAUAUAACAUUUAUUUAUGAUAAGAUCAAAUGCUUAUAGUUUAUUUGAUUUAAUUUGCUUCGGCUUAUUAACAUUAAAUAAAUGCUAUUUGAUUUCAUAAAGUGUUGAUAGAUAUAAUCAUAUGUAUAAUGCAUAAAUUUCUUUAAUGAAAUUUUAUAAAUUAAAUUUUAUUGGCAUUUAUACGAUUAACAAUGCGAAAGAUUCAGGAUACCUUCGGGACCCGUCUUGAAACACGGACCAAGGAGUCUAACAUAUGUGCAAGCUUUUGGGUGUUGACACAAUUAACUGGAAACCCUUAAGCAUAAUUAACUUAACUUUAUAUUUAAAUGGGAUUAAUUUUUAAUCAAAUUAUUUUGAUAUAUUAAUUCAAUCCCAGGGCGUUCUAUACAGUUAUGUAUAAUAAUAUUUUUUAAAUAUUAUUUAAUACCUCUAACUAGAGCGUACCUUGAGCAUAUAUGCUGUGACCCGAAAGAUGGUGAACUAUACUUGAUCAGGUUGAAGUCAGGGGAAACCCUGAUGGAAGACCGAAACAGUUCUGACGUGCAAAUCGAUUGUCAGAAUUGAGUAUAGGGGCGAAAGACCAAUCGAACCAUCUAGUAGCUGGUUCC